Mytilus californianus (California mussel) is the source of this 1905-nucleotide long non-coding RNA. RefSeq lists it as uncharacterized. The record is from RefSeq and is a predicted model, not a curated record. The transcript is spliced from 3 exons. NCBI's taxonomy places the organism in Eukaryota, Metazoa, Mollusca, Bivalvia, Mytilida, Mytilidae.
GCGGUUUCAAAUUAACUAGAUAUGUUUUUUCCAUACUCAGGUUGUAAGAUUUUGCACGUUUUGUUUUUUCAGCAUCGGCUCAUGCAAACAGUAAAGUUUGUUUCAAUAAAGAACAGACUAAAUUCGUGGGGUCUUUCGGUGUCAUGUUGAAUUGGACAGUAAACGAAACUGCCUUGAGAACAAUGAUGUCCAAAGGGGUUCAACAAGGAGUCUUCAAGGAGGAAGAAUUCACCUUGUCCCAACUAAGGGACAAGGUGAAAAACCUGAAAAAGAAGCCAUUGAAGCCUUCCCUGUAAGAUGGUUUACACACAUUGACUUGUAAGCAAUUAACGCCAGAAGAACGGCCAUGAUGUCCCAGGAUAUCCAGCUGGCCAUACAGAUUUUAACAUUGUGACAGUCAAUAGUUUUGUUAAAUAUAUGAUUUUCUACUAUCACGAAUUAAGAAAAUCAUGAUGCCUGUCUGUUUGACAGUGUUACAUUUUAACUUUGAUUUCUUCCAUUCUUUGUGUGCAUAAUUUAUUGAACUUUGUGACAAUGAGGGUCUACAUAUUUUCCAACUUAUUUCAUUUCACAUUUCAUGUAUAUAGUUCCAAAGAGGCAUCUUACAUGCAUGUUGUUAUUCAUGAUUAAAUGUAGUCUAUUGAUCUCUUUUUCUUUAUUAGCAUGCUUUAAUAUGAGAAUGAUUAUAAGAUUACAAUUUUUUUUAUCUAAUUAGAAAUAAAGUAGAUUGACUUUAUUCUUAGUCUGUAUUAUAUUAUAGCACUUGAUCCAAGAUAUAUAACUUGAUUUGACACACUUUGUAUGUUAGACGCACAACAGGUCAGUCUUGAUUUGUUUUCCUUGUUUUAGCGAUCAAAUAUCCUUUCAGUUGAAAACAAAAAUACAGAGAAAGCCUACCGACAUAUAUUUCCUCCUCCCGUUUAAAAUAAACUUGCGUAGCUAUCGUUUCUCAAAUAUUUUAGUGGAGCACAUUCAAAUGACUAAUUCCAAGAUAAAGUAAAGCCUUCAAAAUAACGAUUUUAACGAAAUUGAAUUUGGGUAAGGGUUAAGGUAUGGGUGUUAAAUAUAUGAUUUUCUACUAUCACGAAUUAAGAAAAUCAUGAUGCCUGUCUGUUUGACAGUGUUACAUUUUAACUUUGAUUUCUUCCAUUCUUUGUGUGCAUAAUUUAUUGAACUUUGUGACAAUGAGGGUCUACAUAUUUUCCAACUUAUUUCAUUUCACAUUUCAUGUAUAUAGUUCCAAAGAGGCAUCUUACAUGCAUGUUGUUAUUCAUGAUUAAAUGUAGUCUAUUGAUCUCUUUUUCUUUAUUAGCAUGCUUUAAUAUGAGAAUGAUUAUAAGAUUACAAUUUUUUUGAUCUAAUUAGAAAUAAAGUAGAUUGACUUUAUUCUUAGUCUGUAUUAUAUUAUAGCACUUGAUCCAAGAUAUAUAACUUGAUUUGACACACUUUGUAUGUUAGACGCACAACAGGUCAGUCUUGAUUUGUUUUCCUUGUUUUAGCGAUCAAAUAUCCUUUCAGUUGAAAACAAAAAUACAGAGAAAGCCUACCGACAUAUAUUUCCUCCUCCCGUUUAAAAUAAACUUGCGUAGCUAUCGUUUCUCAAAUAUUUUAGUGGAGCACAUUCAAAUGACAAAUUCCAAGAUAAAGUAAAGCCUUCAAAAUAACGAUUUUAACGAAAUUGAAUUUGGGUAAGGGUUAAGGUAUGGGUUUAAGUUAGGGUUAGGGUUAGGGUUUGGGUUAGGUUUAUAGACAAAUUUGGGGUAUAGACAUAGAUGGAAUGAUAUAUUAUGGUGUGAUAUGGCUGGUGUAUAUAUAGGGGAUAGGGUUAGGCAGAACUUCUUUUUUCCCAAAAAAAUUGCUAAGUACAGUUUGCCUUUGACUUCAAUGUUCAAACAGGUGUAGAAU